GCCUUCGUGGUGUAGUGGUUAGCACGCUCGAUGCGUAACCGCGAGGUCCGUGGUUCGACUCCCGGAGAAGGCG
Non-coding RNA from Stegodyphus mimosarum, 73 nucleotides. The record is from Rfam. Lineage: Eukaryota; Metazoa; Arthropoda; Arachnida; Araneae; Eresidae.